This 467-nucleotide long non-coding RNA is filed under the name Cotesia glomerata. Its description in RNAcentral is "uncharacterized LOC123268637". The record is from RNAcentral. Lineage: Eukaryota; Metazoa; Arthropoda; Insecta; Hymenoptera; Braconidae.
UAACCUAAUAUUUAAUUAAAUUGAAGUUUUUACAUUAAUAAUUCAUAGAAUUAUAAUAUCAUAAAGAAAAAAAUAUGCAAAGAGGAGGUCGACCGAAGCACAGUUUUUGGGAAGAAGGAGGAUUUCAGCGUAUUCGUGAAAACGGAAAACAAGUUGCAUUAUGUGUAAAGUGUAAAAAAAUAAUGAAUAAUACCACUGAACAACGAUUGAAGAGUCACAGGAAGUCGCGUAUUUGGGAAAACUCUGAUUCAAUUUCUGAAUCUGAAGAUAACUGUAAUAUAAAAUUGUCUUUAAAUAACUUUUUUUAUAGUAAUAAUUUCAUUUGAUCUAAUUCAAGAUCUUUAUCUUAAAAAAUUUUGUAAAAUAUUACGGCCUGCAUAUGAAGUCCCUAGUGAAGUUAAGUUAUCGACAACUUUACUUGAAAAAGCUCACGAUAAAUUUACUGAUCGUAAACUAAACUUGAAGGA